UUCCUUUCCAAGUAUUACCUCAAUGACUAAAAAAAAUCUGUUCUUAUCAGCUUAAUAUCUGAUACGUCCUGCAUCGCAGGACCAGAAUAUUAAACUCAUUUUUGGCUCAUGACGGAGUGCUAGGGGUUUGCUCCACCUCUGUCGCGGGUUGGCCCGGCGUUGCAGUACCGCCGGGAUCGGCCCACAUAAA
Molecule: small nuclear RNA, 190 nt
Organism: Schistocerca serialis cubense
Lineage: Eukaryota; Metazoa; Arthropoda; Insecta; Orthoptera; Acrididae
Product: U2 spliceosomal RNA
Exons: 1
Source: RefSeq, a predicted model, not a curated record